AUGGAAGCCACCCGCGCAUGUCCUUACUGGGUAUGGCUCAUCGUCGCCGGGCUGAUCUUCACUGUCGCCUUCGUCCUAAUCUUCGUCUUCGUGAUACCCGGCGACAUCUUCUACUCCAUCGCCAUCGACUCCGCCUCCGGCCUCGACCCGCCGUCGCCCACCGACUUCUCGCUGGCCCGCCCAGAGUUCAACCUCACCUUCCGCGUCACCACCGACGGUCUUAGGCGCACCGUGUGCGUGGACGCUGGCAUCUACGUGGAGGUUUCCUACCGCUGCGUCCCGCUUGCCGCCAGCCCCGCCACGCCGCACCGGAUCUGCGUCGCGCCGGGGAAGGGGAGGGACGAGCCCAUGUUCGCGAGGGGAGCCCGCAUCCGCCUGCCGGGGUACAUGAUGGACAGCCUCGCCGCCGACAUACGGAGCGGGGUGGAGGCGUUCGGCGUCACGCUCAAACAGUCCUCCGGUGGUGCUCUAGCCGGCGAGGGCGAGAAUGUGGCAAAGUGUGGGGCUAGGCGGGUCGGGGACGUCCCCACCAGGUGCGAUACGUUGUACACGUGCCCCGAUGGGGACCCAUCAAGGAGUGCUCCAGACUCUGCUGCUGCUUCCCCAAGAAGUACCCCAGAUACUGCUGCUUCCCCAAGGAGUACUCCGGACUCAGCUGCCAUUGCGAAUGCUUCUCGACCAUAG
This 684-nucleotide ribosomal RNA is filed under the name Triticum aestivum (bread wheat). RNAcentral describes it as "partial small subunit ribosomal RNA". The record is from RNAcentral. Lineage: Eukaryota; Viridiplantae; Streptophyta; Magnoliopsida; Poales; Poaceae.